UAGGAUUCCAUGCGUUAAGUGUUCAUCGGAUGGGGAGUUGUCGAGAAACGAAGAGUCAGAAAUGAUUUCUGCGAUGUGGAAUCCG
Molecule: non-coding RNA, 85 nt
Filed under: bovine gut metagenome
Description: THF riboswitch
Rfam family: THF (Tetrahydrofolate) riboswitch aptamer
About the family: THF riboswitch presents a pseudoknot that joins P1-P2 and the loop of P3 and two THF binding.
Source: RNAcentral